RNAcentral lists this transfer RNA (65 nucleotides) under Coptosoma variegatum. Its description in RNAcentral is "tRNA-Thr". The record is from RNAcentral. Lineage: Eukaryota; Metazoa; Arthropoda; Insecta; Hemiptera; Plataspidae.
GUUUUAAUAGUUUAAAUUUAAAAUUAUGAUCUUGUAAAUCAUAGAUAAGAAAAUCUUUUAAAACU